UACGUAGGGGGCAAGCGUUAUCCGGAUUUACUGGGUGUAAAGGGUACGUAGGCGGUUACUUAAGUCAGAUGUGAAAGCCCGAAGCUCAACUUCGGGACUGCAUUUGAAACUGGGUAACUAGAGUACAGGAGAGGAAAGCGGAAUUCCUAGUGUAGCGGUGAAAUGCGUAGAUAUUAGGAAGAACACCAGUGGCGAAGGCGGCUUUCUGGACUGUAACUGACGCUGAGGUACGAAAGCGUGGGGAGCGAACAGG
RNAcentral lists this ribosomal RNA (253 nucleotides) under uncultured bacterium. RNAcentral describes it as "partial 16S ribosomal RNA". It matches the Rfam family "Bacterial small subunit ribosomal RNA", at positions 524 to 776 of the family's 1533-position model. The record is from RNAcentral.